RNAcentral lists this ribosomal RNA (1333 nucleotides) under uncultured fungus. RNAcentral describes it as "eukaryotic LSU rRNA". The stretch from base 648 to 1333 matches the Rfam family "Eukaryotic large subunit ribosomal RNA", at positions 1 to 667 of the family's 3401-position model. The record is from RNAcentral. Lineage: Eukaryota; Fungi.
CUUGGUCAUUUAGAGGAAGUAAAAGUCGUAACAAGGUUUCCGUAGGUGAACCUGCGGAAGGAUCAUUAGUGAAUCUUCAAAGUCGGCUCGUCGGAUUGUGCUGGUGGAGACACAUGUGCACGUCUGUCGGGUCGCAAAUCCACACACCUGUGCAUCUAUGACUCUGAGUGCCGCUUUGCAUGGCCCCCUUGAUUGGGUGCCUGGUGCUCGAGUAUUUUUCACACACUCUCGAAUGUAACGGAAUGUCUUGUUGUGCGUAAUGUACAAACUAAAAACAACUUACAACAACGGAUCUCUUGGCUCUCGUAUCGAUGAAGAACGCAGCGAAAUGCGAUAAGUAAUGUGAAUUGCAGAAUUCAGUGAAUCAUCGAAUCUUUGAACGCACCUUGCACCCUUUGGUAUUCCGAAGGGUACACCCGUUUGAGUGUCAUUGUAAUCUCACUACCAUCGACUUUUGGUCUUUCGGUAUGUGGACUUGGAUGUUGCCGUGAAUAUCUACGGCUCGUCUGAAAUGCCUGAGUGUACCCCGCUUUGCGGCGUAUUCGGUGUGAUACAUCUUCACCGGAGUUGAUCCCUUGUGGGUCGCGUCUGUAAUGGUGUGGCUCUAUGCUUCGAACCGUCUACCCUAUAGACAAUCUCUGACAAUUUGACCUCAAAUCGGGUGGGACUACCCGCUGAACUUAAGCAUAUCAAUAAGCGGAGGAAAAGAAACUAACAAGGAUUCCCCUAGUAACGGCGAGUGAAGAGGGAAAAGCUCAAAUUUUGAAUCUGGUGUCUUUGACUCCCGAGUUGUAAUCUAGAGAAGUGUUUUCCGUGUCGGACCGUGCACAAGUUCCCUGGAACGGGGCGUCAUAGAGGGUGAGAAUCCCGUAUAUGGCAUGGACUACCGAUGCUUUUGUGAUACACUCUCAACGAGUCGAGUUGUUUGGGAAUGCAGCUCAAAAUGGGUGGUAAAUUCCAUCUAAAGCUAAAUAUUGGCGAGAGACCGAUAGCGAACAAGUACCGUGAGGGAAAGAUGAAAAGCACUUUGGAAAGAGAGUGAAACAGUACGUGAAAUUGUUGGAAGGGAAGCGUUUGAAGUCAGUCGUAUCUGGCGGGAUUCAGCCGGGCUUUUGCCAGGUGUACUUCUCGUCCGAUGGGUCAGCAUCAAUUUCGACCGGGGGAAAAAGGCUUGGGGAAUGUGGCUGUCUUCGGGCAGUGUUAUAGCCCCUUGUUGUAUGCCUCGGUUGGGAUUGAGGAACGCAGCGCGCCUCAUGGCCAGGGGUUCGCCCCUUGAUACGCGCUUAGGAUGCUGGCAUAAUGGCUUUAAGCGACCCGUCUUGAAACACGGACC